CGGUAGCACAGAGGAGCUUGCUCCUUGGGUGACGAGCGGCGGACGGGUGAGUAAAGUCUGGGGAUCUGCCUGAUGGAGGGGGAUAACUACUGGAAACGGUAGCUAAUACCGCAUGACGUCUUCGGACCAAAGUGGGGGACCUUCGGGCCUCACGCCAUGAGAUGAACCCAGAUGGGAUUAGCUGGUAGGUGAGGUAACGGCUCACCUAGGCGACGAUCCCUAGCUGGUCUGAGAGGAUGACCAGCCACACUGGAACUGAGACACGGUCCAGACUCCUACGGGAGGCAGCAGUGGGGAAUAUUGCACAAUGGGGGAAACCCUGAUGCAGCCAUGCCGCGUGUGUGAAGAAGGCCUUCGGGUUGUAAAGCACUUUCAGCGGGGAGGAAGGCAAUAAACUUAAUAAGUUUGUUGAUUGACGUUACCCGCAGAAGAAGCACCGGCUAACUCCGUGCCAGCAGCCGCGGUAAUACGGAGGGUGCAAGCGUUAAUCGGAAUGACUGGGCGUAAAGCGCACGCAGGCGGUCUGUUAAGUUGGAUGUGAAAUCCCCGGGCUCAACCCGGGAACAGCAUUCAAAACUGACAGGCUAGAGUCUCGUAGAGGGGGGUAGAAUUCCAGGUGUAGCGGUGAAAUGCGUAGAGAUCUGGAGGAAUACCGGUGGCGAAGGCGGCCCCCUGGACGAAGACUGACGCUCAGGUGCGAAAGCGUGGGGAGCAAACAGGAUUAGAUACCCUGGUAGUCCACGCCGUAAACGAUGUCGACUUGGAGGCUGUGGUCUUGAACCGUGGCUUCCGGAGCUAACGCGUUAAGUCGACCGCCUGGGGAGUACGGCCGCAAGGUUAAAACUCAAAUGAAUUGACGGGGGCCCGCACAAGCGGUGGAGCAUGUGGUUUAAUUCGAUGCAACGCGAAGAACCUUACCUACUCUUGACAUCCAGAGAAGACUGUAGAGAUACGGUUGUGCCUUCGGGAGCUCUGAGACAGGUGCUGCAUGGCUGUCGUCAGCUCGUGUUGUGAAAUGUUGGGUUAAGUCCCGCAACGAGCGCAACCCUUAUCCUUUGUUGCCAGCGAUACGGUCGGGAACUCAAAGGAGACUGCCGGUGAUAAACCGGAGGAAGGUGGGGAUGACGUCAAGUCAUCAUGGCCCUUACGAGUAGGGCUACACACGUGCUACAAUGGCGCAUACAAAGAGAAGCGAGCCUGCGAGGGUGAGCGGACCUCAUAAAGUGCGUCGUAGUCCGGAUUGGAGUCUGCAACUCGACUCCAUGAAGUCGGAAUCGCUAGUAAUCGUAGAUCAGAAUGCUACGGUGAAUACGUUCCCGGGCCUUGUACACACCGCCCGUCACACCAUGGGAGUGGGUUGCAAAAGAAGUAGGUAG
This 1376-nucleotide ribosomal RNA is filed under the name Brenneria salicis. Its description in RNAcentral is "bacterial SSU rRNA". It matches the Rfam family "Bacterial small subunit ribosomal RNA", at positions 67 to 1433 of the family's 1533-position model. The record is from RNAcentral. Lineage: Bacteria; Pseudomonadati; Pseudomonadota; Gammaproteobacteria; Enterobacterales; Pectobacteriaceae.